GCGGGUGUAGUUCAAUGGUAGAACAUCAGCCUUCCAAGCUGGAUACGUGGGUUCGAUUCCCAUCACCCGCU
RNAcentral lists this transfer RNA (71 nucleotides) under Agathobacter rectalis. RNAcentral describes it as "tRNA-Gly". It matches the Rfam family "tRNA". Rfam says of the family: Transfer RNA (tRNA) molecules are approximately 80 nucleotides in length. Their secondary structure includes four short double-helical elements and three loops (D, anti-codon, and T loops). RNAcentral also lists the same sequence under 3 other names. The record is from RNAcentral. Lineage: Bacteria; Bacillati; Bacillota; Clostridia; Lachnospirales; Lachnospiraceae.